RNAcentral lists this ribosomal RNA (456 nucleotides) under Paratoxopoda similis. Its description in RNAcentral is "partial 16S ribosomal RNA". It matches the Rfam family "Bacterial large subunit ribosomal RNA", at positions 1854 to 2568 of the family's 2925-position model. The record is from RNAcentral. Lineage: Eukaryota; Metazoa; Arthropoda; Insecta; Diptera; Sepsidae.
UGACCUGCCCACUGAAUUUUUAAAUGGCCGCAGUAUUCUAACUGUGCAAAGGUAGCAUAAUCAUUAGUCUUUUAAUUGAAGGCUGGUAUGAAUGGUUGGACAAGGUAUUAACUGUUUCAAGUAAAUUUAUUAUAGAAUUUUAUUUUUUAGUCAAAAAGCUAAAAUAUGGUUAAAAGACGAGAAGACCCUAUAAAUCUUUACUUUUUUUGUGAUUUUAAUUAUAUAGGUAAAUUUUAUUAUAAUUAUAAAAAAAGUUUUAUUGGGGUGAUAUUAAAAUUUAAAAAACUUUUAAUUUUUAUAAACAUAAGUUAAUGAAUAAUUGAUCCAGUUUUAUUGAUUAAAAAAUUAAGUUACUUUAGGGAUAACAGCGUAAUUUUUUUGGAGAGUUCAUAUCGAUAUAAAAGAUUGCGACCUCGAUGUUGGAUUAAGAAAAGCUUUAGGUGUAGCCGCUUAAAU